This 231-nucleotide long non-coding RNA is filed under the name Elaeis guineensis (African oil palm). RNAcentral's name for it is "long non-coding RNA (EGUI_LNC013131)". The record is from RNAcentral. Lineage: Eukaryota; Viridiplantae; Streptophyta; Magnoliopsida; Arecales; Arecaceae.
ACCAUAAUUAUAGCACCAUAAGGUAGAAGUUCCAACCAGGGUUGGUUUUGAAGAUCUUGUAUCAAUAGGGAUAUGAACAGGAGGAGUAAAAGCUGCGUUACCUUGCAUGUCUCCUUGAUUUUUUGAAACUUGGUUACUUCAUAGGAUAGAAUCAGAUCUGGGUACAGGUCUGCACCGCAGCUGCUCCUCAGUAACAACAGGAUGAUGGUACACUUUUUGACAGUCCACAGG